Molecule: ribosomal RNA, 301 nt
Filed under: uncultured bacterium
Lineage: Bacteria
Description: partial 16S ribosomal RNA
Rfam family: Bacterial small subunit ribosomal RNA
Source: RNAcentral
CAGCAGCCGCGGUAAUACGUAGGGAGCGAGCGUUGUCCGGAUUUAUUGGGCGUAAAGAGCUCGUAGGCGGCUUGGUAAGUCGGAUGUGAAACCUCCAGGCUCAACCUGGAGACGCCAUCCGAUACUGCCAUAGCUAGAGUCCGGUAGGGGCCCACGGAACUCCUGGUGUAGCGGUGAAAUGCGCAGAUAUCAGGAAGAACACCGGUGGCGAAGGCGGUGGGCUGGGCCAGCACUGACGCUAAGGAGCGAAAGCGUGGGGAGCGAACAGGAUUAGAUACCCCAGUAGUCCCUGUCUCUUAUA